UCUCAAUUUCAAGUGAACCUCUCAGUCCACCCUGGAAGUGGUAGGUCAUGAUAUGUCAAAAACAUCAAAAUUGGUGUGUCAAUAAUUUAGUGUUGAUGAUUAGGCUGAAGACAAAACCAUGUGAUCCUUCAUGCGCAUCAACAGACCUGGUCCAAACCAUUCACUGGCUUACAUUAGAGCAUUUCGACUGUACUCUUUAAUGUUGUUGUAUAUAUACACAAAAACAUUUGGACUUAAAAGCAACACAAGUACUUACAUUCUCAAGCAUCAAGAGCUCCUUCCCUUUCAAAGUCUUUAUUGAUCUCUCUUGUUCGUCCAUAACAAAAUAUGGGUUUCCGUCUGCCUGCUAUUCUUAGUGCUAAGAAAAUUCUUCUGAGGUCUCCUUCUGCAAACCAAACAGCUUCAGUAGCCAUGGAAGUGCCAAAGGGCUACCUUGCAGUCUAUGUAGGAGAAAAGCCAAUGAAAAGAUUUGUGAUUCCAGUAUCAUACUUGAACACACCUUCGUUUCAAGACUUGUUAAUCCAUGCUGAAGAAGAAUUUGGAUAUGAUCAUCCAAUGGGUGGUAUUACGAUUCCAUGUAGUGAAAACAUGUUCAUUGAUGUCAUUUCUGGCUUAAAUUGUUCAUGAGACUUAAACUCUGAACACACAAUUUUGUAAAGAAUAGAGUUAAAAAGUACAAUGUAUACAAAAGCAUUAGCAUUGAUCAUUUACUUCUUUUUUCUUCAAGACCAUUAUAUGUUAUGUUCUACAAUUCCUUUUCUGCAUGACUUUCCUAUUCCAAUUUUCUUGUAUGUGACUUUCCUAUUGUGGAAACAGUUUCCUUCAAACCACAAUACUAAGAUUGGAUCUUAAUUGUCUUAGCAUUCAUUUGUUAUAGAUUGGACAAUAGAUUUAAAUUAGCCCACAUCUAAUUAGGAGUGUGUUCAGUUCUGGUGCCACUAUAGUUUCAGCUAACAACCAAAACUAGAACCAAACAUUUGGUUCUUUGAGUUUUAGGAAUCAGACUAGAAGGCAAAUUUUGUUUCCGAUUCCGAUUUGGUUCUAAUCCAGUUCUGAUUACCAUUCUGGGCUUAUGGAAAGUGUUUUGUAUAUAUAUAGUCCUAGCUUCAAUUGCCAUCUCAGUUUGGGUUUAAUAAUCCUCUACUUAGUUAUUUAGGGCUUGAAAAUGGUAAAUAGCAGUGACUGUGGCUUUUCUAAACAAUUGAUAGAAGAAAUUCUGGUAAAGGUCAGGUAUCAAGUACCAGCUGUGUAACCCAAAAAGCUACAGCUUUCUGAUAAGAUCAAUUUGAAGAAACUAAUAGAAAAAGAUGACUCAUACGGUCACUAUCAGGGAACUAGCAGGGAAUAUAUCAUCAUUAACUAAGGAGUAGAUAUCUUCUUUGUGACUGUCAGUGAAGGGGCUCUAAAGACAAGGUAUUGGUGGUGAAUGCUGAAGGUCAAUAUAUGUUUUCGCUUGAUCAUGAACCUCCACUAACAUGUACCAAAGGGAUGUUUAGUUGCUGCUGCAUCAAAUUAUGCACAACUUGAUCCACAUGCUAGUUCUUUUUAUUUGAUCUUUAAUUUGAAUGUACUGCCAGGCAUAUGCCGUGACACAACGCUUGCAAUUGUUGAAGUGGCAGGCCAGUAUAAAUUGCAGCUGAGAGAGAAAGAAAGGUUCUUGAAUCUGUCUUUAUCUUCAAAUUUUUUGGGAGUCAAACCAUAUGAUUGCUUAUGAAGAGUUUGUUUCAGGUACCACAUUGCAAUUUCCAGCCUGCAAAUUGAGUGUGGUUGAAAGUUUGGCUAACAUAUAUGUGAUUAGCAAGGUUAGCAAUCCAGCGCCAAAUUUUUCCUUUGAUUUCCAUAGUCUCCAAAUUCAAAAAAUCUAGCCUUGGUCAUAAAAGAAGAGCUCUAAUAUUUGUUUUGUAUUUAGUGUUAUAUUGUGCAAUGAUUGAAUCCAUAGAAGAUACCUGUAGUAUUUCGUAGGAUAAUCUGCAGUACCAUACGAAAAAGCUGGAAAUGAUAUAAUGUGUUGGCAAAGGUUCUAUAGGUUGUCAAAAUUAGUUGGCUGGUGAUGGCUACCUGAUGGUAGGGAAUGGCUAAUGUGAACUUCAGGGUGUCUUUCAGAAAAGUUGAUGGGAUGUCUGACUCAUUUGGUCGUGGUCAAAGUGAAACAUCCCACAAUUUUUGUAGCUUUCAGUUCAUCUAGUAGCUAAACAAGCUGCUGUGAAGUUCACAUGAGGGAUUCCCUACCUUCUUCAGAGUACAGAGUCCUAUCACCUCUGGAUGCUUGGAGAAUGUCCCUCCAGUAAAGAAAAAGAUUGAAAAAGUCGGCACUUUUGCUUAAAUAAUUAGUCCUCCCUGGAAGUGGUAGGUCAUGAUGUUUCAGGGAAUUCAGAAUCGGUGCAUCAAUCAUUUAUUAUAGAAGAUUAGGUUGAAGACAAAACCAUGUGAUCCUUCUUGAGUAUCACUACACCUGAUCCAAACCAUUCACUAGCUUGCAUUAGAUUAUUUCCACUGUACCUUUAGUGUUGUGUAUAUAUACACACAUAAACUUUUAGAUUUAAAAGCAUCACAUGUCCUUACAACCUCAAACAUCAAGAGCUCCUUUCUUUUGGAAGUCCUUACUGAUCUUUCUUCUGUUCAUUCAUACCAAAAUAUGGGUUUCCAUUUGCCGGCCAUUCUUCGUGCUAAGCAAAUUCUUCAGAGGUCUUCUUCUGCAAACCAAACAGCUUCCAUGGAUGUGCCAAAGGGCUACCUUGCAGUCUAUGUUGGAGAAAAGCAAAGGAAACGAUUUGUAAUUCCAGUAUCAUACUUGAACAAACCUUCAUUUCAAGAUUUAUUAAUCCAAGCUGAAGAAGAAUUUGGAUAUGAUCAUCCAAUGGGUGGUCUUACAAUUCCCUGCUGUGAAAACAUGUUCAUUGAUGUCAUUUCUUGCUUAAAUUGCUCAUGAGACUUGAACGCUGAACACACAAUUUUGUAGAGAGCGGAGUAGUAAGUGCAAUGUACACAAAGUAUUGGAAUUUAAUCAAUUAUUCUUUUAUUUCUUCAAGACCCUUUUAGAUUAUGUUCUAGAAUUUUCUUCAGCAUGAUAUUUCCUAUUGCAAUUUUCUUCUGCUUGACUUUCCUACAGUAGAGAACAUUUUCUUUUAAUAGAAGAAGGAAGCCUUUUUAUUUUCUUACCUCACUGUCGUGAAAGGAAGACUAAAAUCUCCAAGUUCUCUAGACAUUAUGCAAAUUCUUCAUGCAAAGCAAAAUAUUUCUGAUUUCAUUCCCUAUGUUCUGCUUUAACCAGUCCUACUUUGUUACAUGGACUGGCAAGCUUAUGUUGAUCAUACCAAAUAUAUGUGGUAUAUACAUGUCAUGCAUGAAACUUCCAGUGAUCAUAUUUAUCAUUUGACAGGAUAAAAACUCGAUUAGCAUUUGCUGCUAAACACAUCUUUUUGACAUUUCUUUACUUCAAAAGUAGCCUUGGCCACUAGAGCUGGCUUUGUCAAGUCUUGAGUUGACUGCUUAGGAACACAAGUUUUGACAAUUCAAUUUUUGCUUUUUCAAAGACUUUGAAAUGCAUAUCUGAAUGAAAGGUUGAGCAAACUAAAUAACUAGGAAAAAGUUUUCAGUGAUCUCAUUUUGAAGUUGUAGAUUGUAUCAAGAAAUUGUGUACAGGUUAAUGAAUUGGAUUUGCACACAAUGGGGUGUAACCUUAGGUUCUCAUUCAUCAAGCAGUGACAGAUGCUGGAACCAUUUGAUGUCUUAACAUUUAAUUUCAUCAAAAAAAUUUGAAUAAUUAUUGGUUAUUAAUCCAUAAGAAAUUUGAAAAGAUUUGCCUGUCUGUUCCGGACUUUGAAAUAAUCAUCCUAUUCGUUUUGGACAUUGAUAAAGUCAGAGAGAUUAGUGGUCUGAUUUUCAUACUUUAUAAAUCAGACUUCUAACUAUCUUGUCAAACUAUAUGAAAAGAUUUGUAUAAAUAUCUUUUAAAUUAUGUGUAUGUAUGUUAUAAUCUUAUAAAAUAAACUCUGUGUAAACGGAUGUUUAGAUGAUAAAAAAAAUUAUUUUCAUAUAUAUAUAUAUAUAUAUUAACAAUAAUUUCAUAAUAAAAGAUCAUGUAAAAUGUUUUUAUUAUUCUACAGUUAUUCUACAGGAGUAUUGUUUAUUGAUUAGAUAAUUUUUUGAAAUCAUAAAUAAAAUAAUCUAAUUAAUAAAUGUAUAUAUUUUUCUUCUAAUGUGAAUAAUUAUAUAGAAUAAAUAUAUAUAAUAGACAAAUUAUUAAUUAUAAAAAUAUUAAUUAUGAUAAAAGUAUAAAAUAAUUAAAGAAUUAAUAGAAAUUAUGUAAAAUUUUAUUCAAUUCAAAUAACUAUAAAAGAAAUUAAUAGAUAUAAAUAAUUAAAGUAUAAUAAAAGUAAAAUAGCGAUUUUAAUAUUUUAAAUCAAACGUGGAAGUUAUUAAAUUUAAAUUAUUACCGUUUAUAUAUUAAUAACUGUGAUAAUUUUAAUCUAAAAAAUAUAACUUUCAUAUAUAUUUUAUAUAUAAAACUCACUACCACAAUCUUCAUAUAUACCUUGUACUUUUUCACACAACUCUUUCUCUCUUAUAUUUCUAAAUGGCUCAUGUUUUGAUAUUUUUCUUUUUUAUUAUUCUCUUAAUAUCUAGUAUAAAAUGUAUGACCUUACAAUUUUCAACAACAAACUCAACCUUUUAGACUAUAUUGAAAUUAGAUGAAAAUUCAUUUAGAUGCUAGAAUUCUUUGAUUUAAAUUCAAGUAUGUUUUGGAAAGAUUAUUUUAUCAUUCUUUAAUAGUGAAUCAUAUUUAGACCAUAAUUAUUAUGAAACAAUUCAUACUAUUACAAAGCAGUGGCAUACUAUGAUUAAUACACUAAAUUUUACCACUAAAGAAAGUGACGUACUUAAAAGGUAAUGUGAUAAAAUAAAUAAUUCUCCACCACUACAACGUUAUCACUACAAUCGUCGCCAUGCUGGAGCUCAGUAAACUUUAUUUUACUAAAAAUAUAACUCAUUGAAUGGAACAUGUUAUUGGAUGUUAAAAAUAUAUGAUAAUCAGUACCAAAACCUUUAAUUCUCUUUGGUGCAAUUGAGUUUGAUGAUGUAUGAUUUUGUGCUUGAUUAAUAUUUCAAGUGUUUAAAUUUCUUACUAUAGAAUUGAAAAUCAUAUAUAUUGGUUGGAUUUCUAAUUCUUCUCUACAAUUAUUUUUUUUGUUUGUAGGUAAUAGAUAGCCUAUUUAAUUAAUAUACAAAAUAAAUUAUAUAGAUAAAAGUAAACAUUUUAUUCUGUAAAAAAUUAUUUUUCCUUACAUUAUUUUCAAACACAAGAGGUAAAAUAAAAUUGUUAUGAUUCAUUCUCUAUUAAUCAACAGAUUUUAUUCGUAAAAGAUUAGUAUGAAUAAUCUAAUAAGUAAAAGAAUUUAAUGGGGCAGAAUCUGGGUGACUCCCCCAGCUAACUGCAUUCUUUGCACGCAGACACUAGCUAAAUUUCUCUACUUAUAACCCAUGUAACAAUUUUGGUUAAUUGAGAAAUGGAAGUAAAUAUAUUUCAUUCUUUUAUUGUUAACAUCUCGUGCAUAUAAUAGCUUUGCAAAAUCAAGUUAAGCCAAAUUUUCUUCAGCUUGUUGCCAUUUCUUCCUUCCUUUGUCCUAAGUUUAUGCUUUUAUUAUAUUUAUAUAUACUAAAAUAUAUGAUCAGGUGGUUAAGAGCCAUUACUAUGAAAAGAAAAUUUAAUGUAUGCUUUGCUUGGUUUAAAAUUUAAUGGUAAACAACAAAAUUCUUUGAUUAACUCAAAAAAAAAAAAAAAAUCAAACCAUAUUAAUUCAUUAAGUUUUUAUCUAGUUCAAUUGCAUCUAACUAAUAAAAAUAAUAACUAAUGGCGCUACACCUAAUCUAUCAUCAUUUAAAAAAUGAAGUACUUUUCAUGGGAAAAGUGUUGGAUAUUUAAUAAAUUAUUUUAAAAGAAUUAUAAAUAAUUUAAAAUAUUUUAAAAUAAGUUACAGAUUUUAAAUUGGUUAAAAAGAUUUUUUCCAUUUUAAAUUAUCUUAAUCUUUAUCCUAACUUAAUCAUAUUUUUAGUUGAUAUUGUGGAAAUCUAAAUUUUUAUCUGAAUCAUAUUUUUAAUUGAUAUUACGUUAAUAUUGUUGCUGUUCUUGCUUCUAGGUUACUUGUAAUUCAGAAGGCUUGUUGCGCCAACCGCAGGCGAAUAGGCUUGUUGAAUCCUGAAGGAUACACAACCGCAUGCGAAUUAUCUUUAAGGACAGUUAUUAUUAUCACACCUCAAACAAUAUUCUGCUCAUCUUUCAUUUAAUUUCUAUAUCUUUUUCUACCACUUUUGAACAAUUUUAAAAACAAUGGCUAAAAUUAUUUCUCCUAACAAUACUUCCAUUACUGACCUGUUAAUCCUUCUACUACUGGCAUUCCAAGUGGUGUUUCUACAUGCAAUCUGCCAUGAUAAUGUCCAAGCCAUUCUUAGAUGUCUCCAAAAUUGAACAGUCCAUGCUGGGAAUGUGUAUUUUCAGUUCUUGAUAUGCAUGGAGUUGCUUUUGCUCUCACCGAUGUGAAACCUGCACAAACUUCCAACAAACAAUGGAAAUUAUGGGUUCAUGCUAAUAAGGUAUAUAGCUACACUAUUAUUAGCAUAUUAUCUAACGAUCUCUUUGAUAUUUAUUGUUCUUAUGAAAAAGCAAAACAAAUAUGGGAGUCCAGCCUACUUUGUUACAUGGACAGGCAAGUUUAUGUUGAUCAUACCAAAUAUACGUGGUAUAUACAUGUCAUGCAUGAAACUUCCAGUGAUCAUAUUUAUCAUUUGACAGGAUAAAAACUCGAUUAGCAUUUGCUACUAAACACAUCUUUUUGACAUUUCUUUACUUCAAAAGUAGCCUUGGCCAAUACAGCUGGCUUUGUCAAGUGUUGAGUUGACUGCUCAGGAACACAAGUUUUGACAAUUCAAUUUUUGCUUUUUCAAAGACUUUGAAAUGCAUAUCUGAAUGAAAGGUUGAGCAAACUGAAUUACUAGGAAAAAGUCUUCGGUGAUCUCAUUUUGAAGUUGUAGAUUGUAUCAAGAAAUUGUGUACAAGUUAAUGAAUUGCAUUUGCAGAAAAUGGGGUGUAACCUUAGGUUCUCAUUCAUGAAGCAGUCACAUUGAUCCACAUGUUCUAUAUAUUUGUAUCUUUAGUUUGAAUGGACCAUCAGUUAUAUGUCAUGACGCAAUGCUUUCAAUUAUUAAAGUGGCAGGCCAUAUAAAUUGCAGCAGAGAGAAAAAAAAAUGGUUCUUGAAUCUGUCUCUAUCUUCAAAUUUUUUGGGAGUCAAACCAUAUGAUUACUUAUGAGAAGUUUGUUUCAGGGUACCACAUUGGAAUUUCCAGCAAGCAAAUUGAGUAUGGUUGAAAGUUUGGCUUACAUAUAUGAGGUUAGCAAGGUUAGCAAUCCAAUGCCAAAUUUUUCUUUGAUUUCCAGUCUUUGGAAAUUCAAAAAUCUAACCAUGGUCAUAAAAGAAGAGCUGUGAUAUUUGUUUCUGUUUUGAGUAUUAUAACGUGCAAUGAUUGAAUCCAUAGAAGAUACCUGGAGUAUUUCAUAGGAUAAUCUGCAGUACUAUACGGAAAAGCAGGAAAUGAUAUAAUGUGUUGGCAAAGGUACUAUAGGUUGUCAAAAUUAGUUGGCUGGUGAUGGGUACCUGAUGGUAGGGAAUGGCUAAUGUGAACUCCAGCGCGUCUUGUCAGAAAAAAAUGAUGAUCUGAAGCUAAAAAAUGAUGGGAUAUUUGCAGGUUUGCUUUUGAUUAGAAAAGAUUUGUAGAACCUUAUCAUCAAUGUAGUUGAAUCUCUUCAGUGAAAAGGAAGAUUUUAGGGUCGUUGACAAAGUGAAACAUCCCACAAUUUUCGUAACUUUCAGUUCGUCAAGUAGCUAACAAGUUGCUAUGAAGUUCACAUGAAGGAUUCCCUACCUGCUUCAGAGUUCAGAGCUCAAUCACCUCUGAAUGCUUAAAUAAUUAGUCCCGCCUGGAAGUGGUGGGUCAUGAUAUUUCAGGGAAUUCAGAAUUGGUGCAUCAAUCAUUUAUGAUAGACGAUUAGGUUGAAGGCAAAACCAUGUGAUCCUUCAUGAGUAUCACUAGACCUGAUCCAAACCACUCAUUAGCUUGCAUUAAAGCAUUUCCACUGUACCUUAAUGUGUAUUGUAUAUAUAUAUAUGCACAAAACAUUUAGAUUUAAAAGCAUCACAGGUCCUUACAAUCUCAAGCAUCAAGAGCUCCUUUCUUUUGGAAGUCCUUACUGAUCUUUCUACUGCUCAUUCAUAUUCAGAAUAUGGGUUUCCGUCUACCUGCUAUUCUUCGUGCUAAGCAAAUUCUUCAGAGGUCUUCUUCUGCAAACCAAACAGCUCCAAUAGCCAUGGAUGUGCCAAAGGGCUACCUUGCAGUCUAUGUUGGAGAAAAGCGAAAGAAGCGAUUCGUGAUUCCAGUAUCAUACUUGAACAAACCAUCAUUUCAAGAUUUAUUAAUCCAAGCUGAAGAAGAAUUUGGAUAUGAUCAUCCAAUGGGUGGCCUUACAAUUCCCUGCAGAGAAAACAUGUUCAUUGAUGUUAUUUCUUGCUUAAAUUGUUCAUGAGACUUAAACUUUGAACACGCAAUUUUGUAAAGAAUAGAGUAGCAAGUACAAUGUACACAAAAAGCGUUGGAAUAUUUUUUCAAAAUUUUCUCCAAGACCAUUAUUGAUUACGUUCACAAUUUUCUUCUGCAUGAUUUUCCUAUUAUAAUUUUUAUAUAUUUCUUUCAAUAGAAGAAGGAAUAUUUGUGAUUUUCCUACAUCAGAGUUCUGAAAGGAAGAUUAAAAUAUGGAAACCUCCGAGUUCUCUAGCAAUUAUGCAAAGCACAAUAUUUCUGAUUUCAUUCCCUAUGUUCUGCUUUAACCAGUUCUACUUUGUUAGAUUUGCAGAAUAUGGGGUGUAUGUUUAGAUUCUUAUUCAUCAAGCAGUGACAGAUUCUGGAACCAUUUGAUAUCUUAACAUUCAAUUUACAUCCAAAAAAUUGAAUAACUACUGUUAUUAAACCUAUCAAUAUCCUUACAAUUAAAUCAGUUUAUUUCUCCAAAAACAACACUUUAAUUUGAACCGAACUAGUUGAAAUCCAAUUAAAAUUUCAAUUAUCUCAGCAUCUAAAAUAGAAGUUUCGCCAAUAUUUAAACCGAAACCGAAAUCUUUUAAUAUGUGUUAUCAAUAUAUAAUAUUUUAUAUAAUAAAAAUUUAUUUAAUAUAAUAUAUUUAAUAUUGUAUAAAAUAUAUAUAAAUAUCACUUGUAAUUUAUCAUUAAUUUAUAUAUAACUAUAAUUAUAGCAAAUUAAAAAGGUUAAUUUUAUCAUUAAAUAUCAUAUAUAUAUAUAUAAAUAAAUUAUUAAAAAUAUUUAAAUUUUUUAAUAUCUAAAAAUAAAUUAAAUUUUCUAAUUUUUUAAAAAUGUAAUAUUUAGUGGCACCAUUGAUUUUACUAUCUAGUUCCAUAAUUUUAAAAUAAAUUAAGAGUUCUUAAUUUUAUAAAAGUGUAAUAUUUAAUUACUUCAUUAAUUUUAAUUUUACUAUUUAGUCCAUAGUUUUUAAAAAUUUACUCAAGUUUUUAAAGUAUUUAUUAAUUAAAAAAAUCUUAAAAUUUCAAUGAAGUUUUAAUAAAAGGAUCAACAAUAAGUUUUUCCAUAGUAUUAAUUUUGAUGCGGCUGUAAUUAGGAAUCGGAGGAAGCGUUCGAUUGCAGCUACAUACAGAGAUUGUAGAGGGACCCCCUGUGGCUGGUCGUGCAAGCUAGUUCGAGGAAUUGUCUCUCCGCUGGUUUUGGAAACUAUGGCAUGCAGAUCAGCUCUUUGCUUGGUCAGUCGAAAGGUUUCAGGGAUAUAGUGGUCGAAGGGAGUGAGUGAUGGUGUAUCUAGCAGUUAGUAUUGUGUAACGUGUCUCACUUGCUUGAUGAAAUACCUAAAAGAAAUAUUGUUUGUGAAUGGCUAUAGUUGUUUAUGGUUUUUGUUUGAUUUUACCAACUACAACUUUAAGAUUUUGUUUACUGUGAACAGCACAUGGUGAUCGUUGUCUUCUCUACCGUUUUUAAACCGCUGGGUAUGAGUAGGUCAUUACGCACUUUUGUAAUGAAAGGCAAAAAGCCAUUUGAUAACUUAUGAACUGAGAAACAAAGCAAGUAUAAACCGAGUUUGCAAGAUAAUGCUGGUGCUGUUUCUCAUUUUUCUAUGAUUCAUACUUUCGUUAGUAGUUUAUCUGUGAUGAAGCUGUAAUAUUAUUAUUAUUGUUAUUAUUAUUUCAUUUAAUUUUAUCAAUUCAAUAAUUGAAUCCAUAGAAUAUAUGUGUAGUAUAUCAAUUGGAGAUAUCAACGUACUAUACGGAAAAGCAGCAUUAGAUUUAUUUGUUUGAUCAAUCAUACGAAAGAGUACUAAGGGUUUGCUGGUGAUGGAGACAGGAUGGUAGGGAAUGGCUCCUGUGAACUUCAGAGCACUGCAGGUAAAAAAAUGCUGAAUCUGAUUCAUUCAUGAGAGUUUAAUAUCAUACAGGUUUGCUUUGGAAGAAAAGAUUUUAGAACCUUAUCAUAAAACAAUUUUUUUUUUCUUUUCUGGAAAAAAGAUUUUACUGUCUUGUAAAAAUGAAACAUCCCACCAUUUUUGUUGUAACGUUUUCAAGUAGCUAAACAAGGUGGUGUGAAAUUCACAUGAAGGUUUCCCUACCUUCUUCAGAGUCCUAUCACAUCUGGAUGCCUGGACCAUGCCCCUCCUGUGAAGAAAAAAGAUUGAAUAGGUCAGCUCUUUGCUUAAAUAAUUAGUAUGAACCUGCCAAAUUCUCAAUUUCAAGUGAACCUCUUAGUCCACCCUGGAAGUGGUAGGUCAUGUCAAAAAAAUCAAAAUUGGUGUGUCAAUAAUUUAGUGUUGAUGAUUAGGCUGAAGACAAAACCAUGUGAUCCUUCAUGCGCAUCAACAGACCUGGUCCAAACCAUUCACUGGCUUACAUUAGAGCAUUUCCACUGUACCCUUUCAUGUUGUUGUAUAUAUACACAAAAACCUUUGGACUUAAAAGCAACACAAGUACUUACAUUCUCAAGCAUCGAGAGCUCCUUUCCUUUCAAAGUCUUUAUUGAUCUCUCUUGUUCGUCCAUAACAAAAUAUGGGCUUCCGUCUGCCUGCUAUUCUUAGUGCUAAGAAAAUUCUUCUGAGGUCCCCUUCUGCAAACCAAACAGCUUCAGUAGCCAUGGAAGUGCCAAAGGGUUACCUUGCAGUCUAUGUAGGAGAAAAGCCAAUGAAAAGAUUUGUGAUUCCAGUAUCAUACUUGAACACACCUUCGUUUCAAGACUUGUUAAUCCAAGCUGAAGAAGAAUUUGGAUAUGAUCAUCCAAUGGGUGGUCUUACAAUUCCAUGUAGUGAAAACAUGUUCAUUGAUGUCAUUUCUGGCUUAAAUUGUUCAUGAGAGUUAAACUCUGAACACACAAUUUUGUAAAGAAUAGAGUUAAAAAGUACAAUGUAUACAAAAGCAUUUGCAUUAAUCAUUUACUCUUUUUUUUUUUUAAUUUCUUCAAGACCAUUAUAUGUUAUGUUCUACAAUUCCUUUUCUGCAUGACUUUCCUAUUCCAAUUUUCUUCUAUGUGACUUUCCUAUUGUGGAAACAGUUUCUUUCAAACCACAAUACUAAGAUUGGAUCUUAAUUGUCUUAACAUUCAUUUGUUAUAGAUUGGACAAUGGAUUUAAAUUAGUCCACAUCUAAUUAGGAGUGUUCUGGUGCCACUAUAGUUUUAGCUAACAACCAAAAUUAGAACUGUUAUAAGUUAUAGAAAGUAAAUAUGUUAAUAUAGGAAGUAAAUAUUGAUAGAUGGGUCAGUUGCUUAAUUUUAGGGAUUGUAUAAUCAUAGGCUUGAUUUUCCUUGCUGUUUAGAUACCGUCUUUCAUGUAUAAAUAGGUUGUAAUCUCUAUUGUGAAAUAUAACAAAAUAUUAUCCUUUUACAUGGUAUCAAAGCCAUUCUCGUAGAGAUUUAAUUUUUUGAAAUAUAACAAAAUAUUAUCCUUCUACAUGGUAUCAAAGCCAUUCUCGUAGAGAUUUAAUUUUUUCUCUCGUCAAGUUUUAAAAUUUUUUAGAGACUUAGGGCUCUGUUCAUUUGGGUUACCCAUAAAGGGUAAUAUUUGGAUCUCACCAUCGCCAGAGUCGCCACACCAUUCCCUUGUCAGAUCUGAGGUUUGUUUGCCUUUCGGGUGUUGGGUGGAGGUGUUUUAGGUAUUAUUCAUAUUCGGGUAUUGUUCAUCGGCACUGUUCAUGGUACUGUUCAUCAGUACUGUUCACGGUUGGUUGUCCUUAUGGCUGAAGUUAAAACCACCACCGUAACUAAUGUGAUUCCUAUGAUAACUAAAAUCACGGAACACAAAUUGAAUGGAUCUUCCAAUCAGGGAGUUUUGAUAUUUGCAGAUGAGUAUGCACAAUUCAUCCAAUACCAGGCAUCUCUAAAAUCCUCUAAUUCCUCCUCUAUCACUGCAAUUGCCGAGUCAGGUAACUCUACUGCAUGUCUUGUGUCUUCAUCCUCCAAAUGGGUUAUUGAUUAUGGUGCUACCGAUUAUAUGUCAGGUAAUUCUACCAUUUUGUCCAAUUUUGAGUCUCAUACAUCGCCUUUUUAUGUUACUCUUGCUGAUGGCACUAAAUCUUCUGUCAUGGGUUCUGGUCAUGUCAACUUAACCCCUUCUCUUUCUGUAUCCUCUGUGUUAUAUCUUCCUAAGUUCGCGUUUAAUUUGCUUUCCGUGAGUAAACUCACUCGUGCAUUGAAUUGUUGUGUCUCAUUCUUUCCUGAUCACUGUGUUUUUCAGGAUCUUUCGACGAAGCAGAUUAUUGGUAGAGGGAGUGAAUCAGAGGGUCUUUACGUCUUGGAUCAGCAACUACCUCGAUCUCCUCGAUCUCUGGUAUGCUCCACGCGUUUAACACCUUUUGAUGUUCAUUGUCGUUUGGGGCAUCCUUCUCUCUCGGCUUUGAAGAAGUUAUAUCCACAGUUUCAUUCUUUGUUUAUUGUAGAUUGUGAGUCUUGUCAAUUUGCCAAACAUCAUCGUUUACCUACACUGCCUCGAGUCAAUAAACGGGCUUCGUCCCCCUUUGAGUUAGUCCAUUCAGAUGUUUGGGGUCCUUGUCCUGUGGUGUUUAAGUCUGGCUUUAAGUAUUUUGUUACUUUUGUUGAUGAUUUCUCUCGUACUACUUGGUUAUUUUUAAUGAAGAGUCAUUCAGAAUUAUUUUCUAUUUUUUAUGCAUUUUAUGCUGAAAUCCAAACCCAAUUCAAUACUUCCAUCCGUAUAUUGCAAAGUGAUAAUGCUAAAGAGUAUCUCUCUGGGGAAUUUCAAUCUUAUUUGUUACAAAAAGGGAUUCUUCAUCAGUCCUCUUGUGUUGCCACUCCUUCACAAAAUGGAGUUGCUGAAAGAAAAAAUCGACAUCUUCUUGAAGUAGCCAGAGCCCUCUUAUUCCAAAUGAAGGUACUUAAAUGUUUUUGGGCUGAUGCUGUAUCCACUAGUUUUUGAUCAAUCGCAUGCCUUCCUCCAUCCUUCAUGGUGAUAUCCCUUAUAACAUUUUGUUUCCCACUAAAUUUUUGUUUCCUAUUGAGCCACGUAUCUUUGGUUAUACUUGUUUUGCUCAUGAUGUUCGUCCACAGGUUACUAAAUUGGAUCCCAAAUCACUCAAAUGUGUCUUCCUUGGCUACUCUCGACGUUAGAAAGGGUAUCGUUGUUUUUCUCCUGAUCUGAAUCGGUAUCUUGUGUCUGUGGAUGUAACAUUCUUUGAGUCCACUCUGUUUUUUCUGCCAUCAUCUGUUUAUAACACCCAGGAGGAGGAAGAUGACCUCUUGUUAUACACUGUUCGCUCUCUGUCUCCUCAGACUACUCCUAUGCCUUCCGCUCAUGUGUCAGGUCGCCCUUCCAUCUUUCAUGUAUAUUCCAGACGCUUAGAGGACUCUGAAUCCAUUCCGCUCCGCUUCUUCGUCGACCGAUCCUGCUCCCACUGAUCCUUCACUGUCUGAUUUGGAUUUGCCCAUUGCUCUUCGCAAAGGUAAACGUACUUGCACUUAUCCUAUUUCAUCUUGUGUCUCUUAUGAUCAAUUAUCCUCCUCUUCUCGUUGUUUUGUCACUGCUUUAGAUUCUAUUUCAAUUCCCAAAACUGUUAUUGAGGCUUUGUCCCAUCUUGGUUGGCGUGCUGCAAUGGAAGAGGAAAUGAUGGCCCUUGACACUAAUGGUACUUGGGAGUUGAUGUCCUUGCCCCCAGGAAAGCGGGCUAUUGGGUGUAAAUGGGUGUUUGCAGUGAAAGUAAACCCUGAUGGAUCUAUUGCUCGCCUCAAGGCCCGUUUAGUGGCCAAAGGUUAUGCACAAACUUAUGGAGUUGACUAUUCUGAUACAUUCUCCCCAGUUGCCAAUCUAGCAUCUGUCCGAUUAUUUAUUUCCUUGGCGGCUACUCAUGAUUGGCCUUUGCAUCAACUGGAUAUUAAAAAUGUUUUUCUUCAUGGUGAUCUUCAGGAGGAGGUUUAUAUUGAGCAACCACUUGGUUUUGUUGCUCAGGAGGAGUCAGGUAAGGUUUGUAGACUUCGAAAAUCCCUUUAUGGCUUGAAACAGAGUCCUCGAGCAUGGUUUGGCAGGUUUAGUGAGGUGGUCCAACAGUUUGGAAUGAAGAUGAGUAAGUGUGAUCACUCAGUGUUUUAUAGAAAUUCUGAUAGUGAAGUAAUUCUGCUUGUAGUAUAUGUGGAUGAUAUCGUUAUUACAGGAAGUGACAUUGCUGGCAUCACAUCCCUAAAAGAAUUUCUUAAAACACAGUUUCAUACAAAGGAUUUGGGUUCCUUGAAAUAUUUCUUGGGAAUCGAAGUUAUGCGGUGUAAGAAAUGCAUCUUCCUAUCUCAAAGAAAAUAUGUUCUUGAUUUGUUGGAAGAAACAGAAAAAUUGGGUGCUAAGCCUUAUAGUGCCCCAAUGACCCCUAACCUUCAACUUACCACAGAAGACAGUGAGCCAUUUGCAGAUCCUGGAAAGUAUAGAAGAUUAGUUGGCAAGCUGAAUUAUUUGACGGUGACUCGUCCUGAUAUUGCAUAUUCAGUGAGUGGUAAGUCAGUUUAUGUAUAAGGCCCAGGCCUAGGCCCAUAAAAAAAAAAAAAAGAGAGGAGAGAGCAAUAAAGCUCUGGUUUCGGGAAUGUCCCGAAACAUUCCCGAAACCCAUCCGUCUCCCUCCUCCAAAAACAGAGCUUGCUCUGUUAGUUUAAAAAAAAAAAAAUCCUUCUCUUUAAUCCAAAUCUCCUUCCUCUCAACCCAUAAACUUUUGAAAUCCUCAGCUAGAUCCUAUUUUAAAUCUAUAUCCUACUCAGAAAUUCAAUAUUUUCUUACAGAGGUUCCAAAAUUGGGUAGGUGAGUUUUAUCCCUUUUAUUCGAUUUAUUGCGAUAUAGUUUAUUUUCUCUACCUUUUAAUAGUGAUUUUUGUGAUUUGAGGAUAAAAAUGGGUUAUGUUUUAGUUAGCUCCAAUCAAUGGGGUUUUAUAUUUCUUUUUGGGAUUAAUGAUUUUCUUAGGUUGAUCUAAAUAAUAUUUAUAGGUUAUUGAGUAUUUUUGUUAAGGUUGUUCAUUUUUGGGAGGUUUAACUAUGCCGAAAUUUUCUUAAAAAUAUAUAUAAAAAUAUAUUUAAAAUUUCGUAUUUUACAUUUUAUAUUAUUAUCCUAGUAGAUUUAUUUAUUAUUUGAUAUAUUAUUUUCUUUUUACUUCUAGUAAAUUUCAUUCCUUCCCCAUCGUCCACUCAGAGUCUAGAGGAGGUCGGACCAAUUCUAGGUCUUUUGUCUUUUCUUUUUGUAAUUUUGGUGGAUCAUGUAUAAAUUGGACAGCCCAGUGAAAAAUGUAUUUUGUUUAUUGUAAAUAUAUUAUGGAUUGACUAGUCCAGCUAUCAAUCCUCUCCUAUAUGUUUUAUAAUUUGAAAUUAUAGCAGGUUAAAUGUGUUCAUAUGUAUAAAUAUUAGGGGGAACUCUGUCAGUUUUCCUGGUCAUAUCCGUCUCUACAGAUUAGAGAAUGGGUGUGACAUUAUGUCUUCUCUUACUGUUGCCCAGUGGGAUGCUUUGGAACAGAUUCUUUGUUACCUUAAAGGGGCCCCAGGACGAGGCCUAUUCUAUGGUAACCAUGAGCUCUCAAAUAUUGAAUGCUUUUCUGAUGCUGAUUGGGCAGGCUCGAAAGUUGAUAGAAGGUCAACUACUGGGUAUUGUGUUUUUGUGGGAGGUAACUUGAUCUCAUGAAAAAGUAAGAAGCAAAAUGUGGUCUUCCGUUCUAGUGCUGAAUCUAAAUAUCGAGCCAUGGCACAAGCUGUUUGUAAAAUCUUGUGGGUACGUCAACUAUUGGAAGAAGUUGGGUUCACAAAUUCGGUGCCUGCUAAGUUGUGGUGUGAUAAUCAAGCAGCUAUUCACAUUGCCUCUAAUCCAGUAUUUCACGAGAGAACUAAACACAUCGAGAUUGAUUGUCAUUUUGUUCGUGAAAAGGUCCAACAAAAGAUAAUAUCAACAGGACAUAUCCGAACUGGAGAACAAUUAGGAGAUAUUUUCACUAAAGCUCUAAAUGGGACUCGAGUUGAUUAUAUAUGUAACAAGUUGGGCAUGAUUAACAUUUAUGAUCCAACUUGAGGAGGAGUGUUAUAAGUUAUAGAAAGUAAAUAUGUUAAUAUAUGAAGUAAAUAUUGAUAGAUGGGUCAGUUGUUGCUUAAUCUUAGGGAUUGUAUAAUCAUAGGCUUGAUUUUCCUUCCUGUUUAAAUACCGUCUCUAAUGUAUAAAUAGGUUGUAAUCUCUAUUGUGAAAUAUAACAAAAUAUUAUCCUUUUACAAGAACCAAACAUUUGGUUCUUUGAUUUUUAGGAAUCAGACUAGAAGACAAAUUUUGUUUCCAAUUCCGAUUUGGUUCUAAUCCAGUUCUGAUUACCAUUCUGGGCUUAUGGAAAAUGUUUUGUAUAUAUAUAGUCCUACCAUCAAUUGCCAUCACAGUUUGGGUUUAAUAAUUCUCUACUUAGUUAUUUAGGGCUUGAAAAUGGUUAAUAGCAGUGGCUGUGGCUUGUCUAAUUAAUUGAUAGAAGAAAUUCUGGUAAAGGUCAGGUAUCAAGUAUGUUAUGUAUCAGCAUUUCCAGCUGUGUAACCCAAAAAGCUACAGCUUUCUAAUAAGAUCAAUUUGAAGAAACUAAUAGAAGAAGAUGAUUCAUACGGUCACUAGCAGGGAAUAUAUCAUCAUUAACUAAGGAGGGGAUAUCUUUUUUGUGACUGUCAGUGAAGGAGAUAUCAUCAUUCAAUCAUAUGUUUUCGCUUGAUCAUGAACCUCCACUAACAUGUACCGAAGGGAUGUUUAGUUGCUGCUGCAUCAAAUUAUGCACAACUUGAUCCACAUGCUAGUUCUUUUUAUUUGAUCUUUAGUUUGAAUGUACUGUCAGGCAUAUGUCAUGACACAACGCUUGCAAUUGUUGAAGUGGCAGGCCAGUAUAAAUUGCAGCAGAGAGAAAAAAAGGUUCUUGAAUCUGUCUUUAUCUUCAAAUUUUUUGGGAGUCAAACCAUAUGAUUGCUUAUGAAAAGUUUGUUACAGGGUACCACAUUGGAAUUUCCAGCUAGCAAAUUGAGUGUGGUUGAAAGUUUGGCUAACAUAUAUGUGAUUAGCAAGGUUAGCAAUCCAGUGCCAAAUUUUUCUUUGAUUUCCAUAGUCUUCCAAAUUCAAAAAAUCUAGCCUUGGUCAUAAAAGAAGAGCUCUAACAUUUGUUUUGCAUUUCUUUUUAUAUUGUGCAAUGAUUGAAUCCAUAGAAGAUACCUGUAGUAUUUCGUAGGAUAAUCUGCAGUACUAUACGGAAAAGCAGGAAAUGAUAUAAUGUGUUGGCAAAGGUUGUAUAGGCUGUCAAAAUUAGUUGGCUGGUGAUGGGUACCUGAUGGUAGGGAAUGGCUAAUGUGAACUUCAGGGUGUCUUUCAGAAAAGUUGAUGGGAUGUCUGACUCAUUUGGCCGUGGUCAAAGUGAAACAUCCCACAAUUUUUGUAACUUUCAGUUCUUCGAGUAGUUAAACAAGCUGCUGUGAAGUUCACAUGAGGGAUUCCCUACCUUCUUCAGAGUACAGAUGCCAUCACCUCUGGAUGCUUGGAGAAUGUCCCUCCUGUAAAGAAAAAGAUUGAAAAAGUCGGCACUUUUGCUUAAAUAAUUAGUCCUCCCUGGAAGUGGUAGGUCAUGAUGUUUCAGGGAAUUCAGAAUCGGUGCAUCUAUCAUUUAUUAUAGAAGAUUAGGUUGAAGACAAAACCAUGUGAUCCUUCAUGAGUAUGACUACACCUGAUCCAAACCAUUCACUAGCUUGCAUUAGAUUAUUUCCACUGUACCUUUAAUGUUAUGUGUAUAUAUACACACAUAAACAUUUAGAUUUAAAAGCAUCACAAGUCCUUACAACCUCAAACAUCAAGAGCU
Molecule: long non-coding RNA, 18385 nt
Filed under: Manihot esculenta (cassava)
Lineage: Eukaryota; Viridiplantae; Streptophyta; Magnoliopsida; Malpighiales; Euphorbiaceae
Description: long non-coding RNA (MESC_LNC002464)
Source: RNAcentral